CAGACAGCACCCUCACUCCCACACAUAUACAGCACAUAUAUAUAUAUAUAUAUAUUUAGCACACAUAUAUAUAUAUAGCACAUAUAUAUAUAUAUAUAUAUAUAUAUAUGUGCUGUAUAUGUGUGGGAGUGAGGGUGCUGUCUG
Pelobates cultripes (western spadefoot toad) is the source of this 144-nucleotide non-coding RNA. Lineage: Eukaryota; Metazoa; Chordata; Amphibia; Anura; Pelobatidae. The record is from the annotation of a GenBank genome assembly.